AUGGAGAAGAUGGAGAUGGAGAGAGAUAAUGCAGAUGAGGCUUUGAGGAGUGCAAAGAAGAAGAAAGUCUUGGGUUUGGUAAUGAUUGCAAAAGCUUCAGGGAGCCUCCAGGAAUGUAUUUGGAUCUUUUGUUUGGACAGAGGAAGACUGGAACCUAAAAUGCGAAUUUUAUAACUUUGAUAUUUUUUGCAAAAUUUGUGGAGCUUUUCUAGGCUGUAUAUCAU
Molecule: non-coding RNA, 224 nt
Organism: Vicia faba (fava bean)
Lineage: Eukaryota; Viridiplantae; Streptophyta; Magnoliopsida; Fabales; Fabaceae
Source: the annotation of a GenBank genome assembly